GGAAAAGAAUGUAGGGAUUCAAAACAGAGAGUUAAAGAGAGGGAGAGAGGAGCCGUACGGGAGAAAGAACAAGAAGAAGAGGGUUUUGUGGGAUAUCAAGAUUCAAGCUAAGAAUUAUGAAAAAUUCAUCUUAAGGGUCAACUACAAGGGUGAACCAGGCAUCUGAACACUCUAACUUAUGGACGUUAACAAUACAACUCGAAAGCGGCAAGCGGCAUCUUUAAGGCGUAACACAACCCAAGUUCCUCAAAAUGUCGGUCGGAAACGUCAUGCUUGUCAUGUUCAAGUUGACGAAUUUGAUGGUGCUGAACCCAUUGUCAAUGAUAUUGGUGGCAAUGAAGAGCAAACAAACAUUGUUGCCGUUGACCACCACACGGACAUUCCUGAUGUUGACCAUCCCAUGGACAUGCCUGGUUCAAGUGAAGAGCUUGCUACAUCUUUUCCCGGGGGCCCAGUUGAUCCUUCCAUUCUGACAAAUUUUAGUUGUCAUAUAGCAGCCAAAAUUUGAAAUAAUGAGGAACGAGAUUUGUUGAGAUGCUUGAACCAUGGCUCUAAGGUUGCCAAUUGGUCUUUAACAUCGGAAGGAGUUGACAACUUUAAAUUUGUGAACAUUAUUAAACAUUUAGGAUUGCAUUCUUUAACUAGUUGCUCAUACAAAUUUGUGAACGGGGUAGUUAUAUCUGUCUUUGUUGAAAAAUGGCAACCUGAGACUAAUAGUAUCCACAUGCCAUUUGGUGAGAUGUCCGUGUCAUUAGAUGAUAUAAGUAACCAUAUUAGCAAUUCCUGUGACUGGUACAUCUAUUUUAACUAGUAAGUUAUCAUGGGAUGAAGCUGCAAAGGUGUUGGUUAAGUCAUUGGGAGUGUUAGAAGAUGAUGCAGUUGUUGAGUUGAAGGGAGCGCAAGGCCAAUCAGUGCAAUUGGAAUGGUUACAUGAAAAUUUUCAAUCAGUUUCAAAUGCGGAUUCAGAUGAUUUCAUUCAUUAUGCAGCGAGGGCAUAUUUAUUAUUCUUGCUAGGUUGUACCUUGUUCGUUGACAAGACUAUAAAUCAUGUUCCUGUUGUGUAUCUCCAGUUGCUCGAGGAUUUGAAUUUAGUUCAUUCGUAUGCUUGGCAUGCAGCUGCAUUAGCUUUUUUGUAUCGGCAAUUGGGUAUGGCAACAAGUCUAUUAUCAGACAAAUAGCAGGAUACGUGACACUAUUGGAGGCUUAGAUCUACGAACAUUUUAUAUGUGCUAGAACCCAUCCAAAUUUAAAUUAUACAGAAAACCAACCUCGGGCUUAUCGUUGGAUUCCUCGCACACAAUCUGGUUUAUCAGUUUCUGUGUUAAAGUCAUUGCGAGAGAAGCUUGAUAGAUUGGAGGCUCAUGAGGUUAUUUUGGAUCCAUAUAUUGGUAAACGUGAGAACCAUUCAUUUGCUAAAGUUGCUUACUACACUGGAUUGCUGAAAUGCAUGGAUAUUGUUGAACCCUAUCAUCCAGAUAGGUUUUUGAGACAGUUUGGAAGGGUGCAAAAUAUUCCCCCGCCUCCACUUGCUCCACUUUCACAAGGAUUUACUGCUGGCAAGUAUUGUCUUUUGUACAAAUAUGUGGAUCGGAUUACAGAGAGGUGGAAAAAUCAUGUGUUAUCUGAAGUGGAGUGCAGUGAGCCAGUUUUACAUCCAUGGGAUUGCACGCCUAAUUACAUGGAUUAGUAUUGUCGCAUUUCCAAUGUCACUAUUCAAAAUCCGGCACAUCGAUCUACAUACGACCCACGUUCUGAGGCAUCAAUAGCUGAUAGUGACUCACAACGCAUUUCAAAAGCCUUGACUAUAGCACAUCUAAUAAUGCAGUUGGAUUACAUUGAAGUCAUUAGUACUCCAGAGUCUCUGUACAAUGCAUUCAAACAAAUGACGGAAUUAUUAGAGGGCCAGCACAUAGAUGAAGAACACACUCCCCACCGGAACAACACUCCCCAUCGGAAAAACAACAAUCCGUUGAAGAAAGUUUGGUUUAUUACCGUCUCCUUUGUCCUCACCCUCGCUAAACUAACACUGAACACAACUGAAAAUUCAUGAUCAUUUGUGGGAUACUAUGGAUGUUUUGUUAUUAGAAUUGAAUGUUUAUGUGUAUUUUCGUAUUAGUAUGGAUGAUUAUGGACCAUCCUUUUGACUUAGUAAUGUUAUGGAUGAUUUCGUCAUGGUUGCUUUGAUGUACGACAGAAGUUAUGUUCGCACCAUGGUUUUCAAUUAGUGAUUUCAU
Molecule: non-coding RNA, 2234 nt
Organism: Camellia sinensis
Lineage: Eukaryota; Viridiplantae; Streptophyta; Magnoliopsida; Ericales; Theaceae
Source: RefSeq, a predicted model, not a curated record